RNAcentral lists this ribosomal RNA (450 nucleotides) under uncultured bacterium. Its description in RNAcentral is "partial 16S ribosomal RNA". It matches the Rfam family "Bacterial small subunit ribosomal RNA", at positions 354 to 796 of the family's 1533-position model. The record is from RNAcentral.
GUGGGGAAUCUUCCGCAAUGGACGAAAGUCUGACGGAGCAACGCCGCGUGAGUGAAGAAGGUUUUCGGAUCGUAAAGCUCUUUCGUUAGGGACGAACGUGCUCUUUGUGAAUAAUGAGGAGUAAUGACGGUACCUAAAUAAGAAGCCACGGCUAACUACGUGCCAGCAGCCGCGGUAAUACGUAGGUGGCAAGCGUUGUCCGGAAUUAUUGGGCGUAAAGCGCGCGCAGGCGGGAUAUCAAGUCUGUCUUAAAAGUGCGAGGUUCAACCUCGUGAGGGGACAGAAACUGGUAUUCUUGAGUGUCGGAGAGGAAAGUGGAAUUCCAAGUGUAGCGGUGAAAUGCGUAGAGAUUUGGAAGAACACCAGUGGCGAAGGCGACUUUCUGGACGAUGUCUGACGCUGAGGCGCGAAAGCUAGGGGAGCGAACGGGAUUAGAUACCCUUGUAGUCC